Non-coding RNA from Myodes glareolus (Bank vole), 524 nucleotides. The record is from RefSeq and is a predicted model, not a curated record. Lineage: Eukaryota; Metazoa; Chordata; Mammalia; Rodentia; Cricetidae.
UGGCCCAGUUGGAAGCCUGAUGCCCUCAGUCAGUGAGUCUAAACCUCCUGUGCUAUCCAGGUGGCCCUCUGCCUGCUGGAGGGGCCAAUCACGCACGCAGAUCGCACGACCACGGGUGUCUGCGAUCACCCUCACUUCGCUGUGCCUGGAUCAAGUAGCCUGGAGGCAGACUUAGCACCUGAAGCCACCGCCAAUACCUGCUCCAUGCACUUGAGUUGAGGGAUGUGGGAUCUCAGGCCUGUCAAUCAUCGAUCUGACCAAGUUCCAAGGGCGUCACCUUCACAGAUGAACUGUGAGAAGUGGAAAGUGUCCCGCAAACUGGAAUUCUCAGAGAAGUGGACUUUCUAACACACACCCCUGUCCCAGGGCAGGGGCGAGGGAAGGAAACCGCCUUCACAUCUCAGCACUCGGUCCCUCUACCUCCUUGGCAGUCCCUCUCCUGAAUGAAGGCUCUAUCACUGAGCUUUUCUCUGGGAUUCUUGAAAAAAAAAUAAUAAAAUAUUUAUUUGUAGUUUGUAAAAUUA